CCUCUGUAAGCUCUUCUGAAUUACAGUCAGUCAAGAUGGAAAUGGAUACCGACCCUUGUGCUGACACAAAAAUUAGAAGGUCUCUCCGGCGUAGAGCCUGGAUAAACUAUGGAAAAUUGGACAAUAAUAGUUCGGAGGAUGAAUCUGAUUUGGUAAAGCUUGAUCAAAAUCUCAGUUUAAGGCCUCAUCUUCCCAAGGGGGUUAUUCGUGGGUGUGCACAAUGCAGAAAUUGCCAAAAGGUCACUGCAACAUGGCGUCCUGAAUAUGCUCGCAGGCCUGACCUUGAGGAUGCUCCUGUAUUCUACCCUACUGAAGAGGAGUUUGAAGAUACUUUGAAAUACAUAGCUAGCAUACGAC
Molecule: unclassified non-coding RNA, 357 nt
Filed under: Hevea brasiliensis (rubber tree)
Lineage: Eukaryota; Viridiplantae; Streptophyta; Magnoliopsida; Malpighiales; Euphorbiaceae
Source: RNAcentral